This 284-nucleotide long non-coding RNA is filed under the name Lathyrus oleraceus (garden pea). Its description in RNAcentral is "Pisum sativum (pea) long non-coding RNA (PSAT_LNC025085)". The record is from RNAcentral. Lineage: Eukaryota; Viridiplantae; Streptophyta; Magnoliopsida; Fabales; Fabaceae.
UUUUUUUUUUGUAUUUUCUGAAGUUUCAUUUAGUCCACUUAUUUUAUUUAAUUCAUAAUAAAUCCAUUUGUAAUCCAAAAAAUAUGGUACUUUCACCAAAAAUCUUUAAAUAUUUUUCUCUUCCAUAUUUUUAAUUAAAAAUAUUUUUUGGAUAAAUUUUGGUAUUUUUCAGGAAUUAAAUUUUUGUGUGCAUUUUUUUAAUUGUUUUAAAAUACUUAUGACUUUCUAAAAGUUGUGAAAUUUUUUGUCUAAGUUCCUUUGACCUUGUUUGACCUAGGAAAAAU